ACUUCCACUGCUGCACCAAGAGGAUACCCAUCUUCUGCUGGACUUGGAAUUCCUGGAGAACUGCUUUGUGAAAAGCUGACAAUAAUUUCUUUAAAUCCCAUCUCUUGGAGAGACCAAGAUGGC
Non-coding RNA from Myotis brandtii (Brandt's bat), 123 nucleotides. The record is from Rfam. NCBI's taxonomy places the organism in Eukaryota, Metazoa, Chordata, Mammalia, Chiroptera, Vespertilionidae.